RNAcentral lists this ribosomal RNA (526 nucleotides) under uncultured bacterium. Its description in RNAcentral is "bacterial SSU rRNA". It matches the Rfam family "Bacterial small subunit ribosomal RNA", at positions 15 to 518 of the family's 1533-position model. The record is from RNAcentral.
GAUCCUGGCUCAGAACGAACGCUGGCGGCGUGCUUAACACAUGCAAGUCGAACGCGAAAGGGACUUCGGUCCUGAGUAAAGUGGCGCACGGGUGAGUAACGCGUAGAUAACCUGUCUUAUGUCUGGAAUAAUACGCCGAAAGGGGUACUAAUACCGGAUAUUUUUUGCAUUGCAUAAGCAGUGUAAGCAAAGGUGGCCUCUGACAUAAGCUACUGCAUAAAGAGGGGGUCUGCGUACCAUUAGCUAGUAGGUGGGGUAAAGGCCUACCUAGGCUACGAUGGUUAGCGGGUCUGAGAGGAUGAUCCGCCACACUGGCACUGGAACACGGGCCAGACUCCUACGGGAGGCAGCAGUGAGGAAUAUUGCGCAAUGGGGGCAACCCUGACGCAGCGACGCCGCGUGAAGUGAGGAAGGCCUUCGGGUCGUAAAGCUCUGUCAAAGGGAAAGAAGUGCAUGGUGGUUAAUACCUGCCAUGUUUGACGGUACCCUUAAAGGAAGCACCGGCUAACUCCGUGCCAGCCGCGGC